Molecule: ribosomal RNA, 639 nt
Filed under: Salmonella enterica
Lineage: Bacteria; Pseudomonadati; Pseudomonadota; Gammaproteobacteria; Enterobacterales; Enterobacteriaceae
Description: partial 23S ribosomal RNA
Rfam family: Bacterial large subunit ribosomal RNA
Source: RNAcentral
AGACCCGAAACCCGGUGAUCUAGCCAUGGGCAGGUUGAAGGUUGGGUAACACUAACUGGAGGACCGAACCGACUAAUGUUGAAAAAUUAGCGGAUGACCUGUGGCUGGGGGUGAAAGGCCAAUCAAACCGGGAGAUAGCUGGUUCUCCCCGAAAGCUAUUUAGGUAGCGCCUCGUGAAUUCAUCUCCGGGGGUAGAGCACUGUUUCGGCUAGGGGGCCAUCCCGGCUUACCAACCCGAUGCAAACUGCGAAUACCGGAGAAUGUUAUCACGGGAGACACACGGCGGGUGCUAACGUCCGUCGUGAAGAGGGAAACAACCCAGACCGCCAGCUAAGGUCCCAAAGUCAUGGUUAAGUGGGAAACGAUGUGGGAAGGCCCAGACAGCCAGGAUGUUGGCUUAGAAGCAGCCAUCAUUUAAAGAAAGCGUAAUAGCUCACUGGUCGAGUCGGCCUGCGCGGAAGAUGUAACGGGGCUAAACCAUGCACCGAAGCUGCGGCAGCGACGCUUAUGCGUUGUUGGGUAGGGGAGCGUUCUGUAAGCCUGUGAAGGUGUGUCGUGAGGCAUGCUGGAGGUAUCAGAAGUGCGAAUGCUGACAUAAGUAACGAUAAAGCGGGUGAAAAGCCCGCUCGCCGGAAGACC